GACCGAACAAGCGAGGUCAAUAAUCGGUUUAUUAUGUGGCUGAACUGAGUCUGUGAGCAUAUGCUUUUCGCGCGAAUUAAAUCGGCUAUCGUCAGUUUCACUGGGUAACAAUAUACGGUAGGCAUGCUUAUUGAUCAAAAACAAUUUGGUUGUUUGAAAUUUUCAUCUGUAAAGCACAAUUGGAAAUUAAAAAGCAAAAUUUUUUUCUGUUUGCAAAGCAAAAGCGACAUCCGUGACACCGGUCAAGAUACGGAAAAUACGGACCACGGCCGGAUAUGGGUUUUUACGGACCGCUUG
Molecule: non-coding RNA, 297 nt
Organism: Paramuricea clavata
Lineage: Eukaryota; Metazoa; Cnidaria; Anthozoa; Malacalcyonacea; Plexauridae
Source: the annotation of a GenBank genome assembly